UUGACUCGGGGUGUCAUUGGCUGGUUGCGUGGCGAUGACUGAGAUUUUACCCGUUGAACCUGAUCUGGAUCAUACCAGCGUAGGGAAGUCUAAGUCUU
This 98-nucleotide non-coding RNA is filed under the name uncultured Snodgrassella sp. RNAcentral's name for it is "TPP riboswitch (THI element)". The stretch from base 3 to 90 matches the Rfam family "TPP riboswitch aptamer (THI element)", at positions 7 to 92 of the family's 105-position model. From Rfam's summary of the family: Vitamin B(1) in its active form thiamin pyrophosphate (TPP) is an essential coenzyme that is synthesised by coupling of pyrimidine and thiazole moieties in bacteria. The previously detected thiamin-regulatory element, thi box was extended, resulting in a new, highly conserved RNA secondary structure, the THI element, which is widely distributed in eubacteria and also occurs in some archaea. The record is from RNAcentral. Lineage: Bacteria; Pseudomonadati; Pseudomonadota; Betaproteobacteria; Neisseriales; Neisseriaceae.